GUGCUUGCUUCAGCAGCACAUAUGCUAAAAUUGGAAUGGUACAGAGAUUAGCAUGGCCCCUGUGCAAGGACGACAUGCAAAUUCAUGAAGCAUUCCAUAUUUUU
Molecule: small nuclear RNA, 104 nt
Organism: Meriones unguiculatus (Mongolian gerbil)
Lineage: Eukaryota; Metazoa; Chordata; Mammalia; Rodentia; Muridae
Source: Ensembl